AAAAUCAAUGUUGUUAACUUCUGUAUAUUUUAAUAUUCGAAACCUAGUUAAUUCAUAGAAAACUUAGAAUUUAUAUUGAAGUCAAUGAAAAGAUGUCUCGAUUACUCCAUUAUGAAGAAGAAUAAAAACUGGUCUAGUAUCAGAAUGGUAGCACAUCAUUGAUGUUAACAAUCUGAUAACCACAAUUUCCCCUCCCAAAACACCCUGCACAAACAAUCAAAUAUUCAACUAAUACACAGCCAAGCGAUAGGAACAACAACAAUAACGUCAAUAAGCGUAAUACAAUCGGGGACAAUUUUUCAAUUUUUCAAUUUGCCUGAAUGGAAAGAGUGCGAGAGUAUCUUGACGGGGUGCUAAAGGUUGCGAAAUUGCGCGACUGCCAGCCAGUUCGGGGAAUUCCUGUGGAAACGAUCUGGAAAAAGUGCGCCGCUGAAUCAAUUUCCUCCCGAAGACGGAAAGAGAAAAAAAGAAGGGAGAUUUUUACUGCUGUGUGCUUUCUUAAAAUAACAAAAUUACUUUUUAUAUGCAGGCGACUUUAGGACUCAGGACACAGCCGCACAAAUAACAACAACAGCAUGCCAUUGACAACCAUUAAUCAUGAAAGCCUGUCAGGGCGGGUCGCAGGCAGGCAGGCGGGCCGGGUGUGGCAAAAGAGGAUGGGGCUCGUCUGUGCUUCUGCCUGAUGAUUGUCCUGUGUUGCAGUACUGUUUUUCUUUUCUCUAUUUUUGGUUUUUUUUUUGCUUUAAAUUUUGCCUUUACAUGCUAAUGCCUUGCAAUGGGGCUCAAGUCAUGCUCGUGCCCAUGCACAACCACGCCCAACUGCGAAAUUGACAAGCAAACCGAGUGCGUUUUGACAUGACACUUGCAAGGGACCACUAGCAAUAGCAAUAGCUGUAGCAGUAGUUGUGGCUAUGGCUGGGUCUGUGGGUGAAGCAUGGCCAGGACGAGACGCUGAACGUAGGCGUGAGCAGCCAGCAUAGGACAAGCACACAGUGGCAUGAGGCAAGAGGCAGGAGGCAGAAGGCAAGCGACAGGCGGCAACGAUAGGUAGGUUAUAUAUGCCAUCAUUAGACGUGGUCUGUUUGCCACGCCCGUUCUGUUGCUGUUGAUGCUAUUCUUGCUGUUGUUGCUCACUCGCAAAUUGGCAGCACUGCAAUGAAGGACCAUGUCAUGUCACAGGCUAGAGCAAUACAACGUGCCUGAUGGCCGGUCAAAGUUCAAUGCGAAAGCCAAAUUCCGAUUGUCAAGAUGUUACUGCAAGCUACAUACACAUAUGUAUGGAUAUAUUUACAUGCGAGCAUGUGUGCGAGUCGGACAUGUCUAAUUGCUCAGUUUAUGGGGGCUACAUGUCAUAAAGUGCAAAUGCAUGCCAAGCACCAACAAGCCCAAAAGCUGGCUAUAAAAUUUGCUAUUGCUGCUUCUAGGUUUGGUCCGUGAUUUGUAUGUGAAAUUUGACAUGCAUUUUCAAUUUAACACCAGCUUUAAAGAGUCACUUCUCCAUCCAAUAAUGAAUUCCAUUCAUUUUGUUUGUCUGCCAUCCUCAUGGAGCAUCACCUCUACCCGCCGCGUCGCCUCGACGACUUGUGCCGUGCCGGCCACGAUAAAACUUUAUGCACUGCAAAGGCCAGCAUUGACAUUUCAAGUGCUGCCGCUCUUAUAGAAAGGAAAAAAGAGGCUACGAUGGAGGUUCACCAGUCCUGGCGCCAUUGGAGAAAAUAGUUUUAAUAAUGCACAAGACGACUCCAACGGAAAGUAACAUAAAAUGAAGGACAUACGAGACCAGCAGCAGCUCACACAGAUAAGACCCUCGACUGUCCAAGUUCCGCCCAAGUACAUCAGCAGCAACAACACCAAUAACACCAGAAUAAAAAAGAGCACAGAAGAAGCUGGAAAACGUAAAAGGUGGCAAGAAAUAGAAAACAUGGAUGGGCAAUGCAAGUUUGUCUAUUCGAUGUCAAAAUGAAUACUUUUGCAUUAUUUAUGCUAGUGCUUUUAUUUGUUUUUUCCGAUAACGAAGUGCAAAAAGCAAAACAAUUCAAUGAACUUCUCUCAACAUCCACAGAGAGCCACAUUUUCGAAACUUUAAACAGCAAAGGCUUUAACCAACUACUCUUAUACGUGGUGUGUAUUGUUUAUAUAAAAUAUGUUUUUUGGAAGAACUAUUUUAAUGAUGGAAAGAUAAUAUUGUUCAUUUAAUAUAUGAUGUGCUUUAUAAA
Long non-coding RNA from Drosophila sulfurigaster albostrigata, 2216 nucleotides. RefSeq lists it as uncharacterized. The transcript has 2 exons. Lineage: Eukaryota; Metazoa; Arthropoda; Insecta; Diptera; Drosophilidae. The record is from RefSeq and is a predicted model, not a curated record.